AUUUUCAAAUUUUAUUGGUUUUUCUAUGCCUUAGAUGAAUGCAGACUCAAGAGUAUAUACAAUGCAACACACACUUCCUGAUCCCUCCCCCAAACUUAAAUCACACAGUCCACUGUGUGACUAAACUUGGAAGAGAGUCCUCAAGACAAAUCAAAUCACAGAAACAAAAUAAAAAAACAAAUCACAAGAGAUGGUAUAAUACAAUGGUGAAGUGAGGCGCUUACCUAAGUCGAAUAAUGAACGAAGUUGGUCGUCAAUGCUGCCUGUGAUUGCUCCCAGGCCAUUGACGAGUCGCCCUAUUCUAUAUCAGCUCCAGCGUGUGGGUACUCGACCUCAUCAGCUAUGUGGCGGCCAACACCGCUCGUAGGAUACCUGACCUCUCUCCUUCUGCUGCGGCCAGCACUGUGGUCGCGUAAACUUCGAGAUUAUAGAAGUCUUCUUCUCCUGGUGCUAGAUCGAGUGAGCGUGGUCCUCCUCUUUCUCCCAGAUUCAUGAGGCUCGAAUGAUGAAUGCCUCGCAGGCACAUGCGAAACCUCUUGCUCACUAGGCUAUGGCUCGUCAUAUCUCCUCGAGGGCAUGUCCUGAGGGAGCUGGCCCUGCGGAAUAGCUGUAGUGGCAGAGGAGCAGCUUAGCUUGUCCUUAAGAAACUUGAUAGCCUUGAAGAACUUGGCGAGUUACUUAUCCUGUUUCUUGCACCACUUCUAUAACUUGCUGUUGUUCUUGUGAGCUUCACUAAAACUCUUGCUCUCCCUCGCUGGAGGUACAUGCUCACUGAAAUGAUACAUUCUCGUGUCAAACUCUACUUCAUCUGUUUCAUCCGUCUUAUCAACCUCUUCUGUUGUAGCUCCUUCCGUGUGAGUGAUCUCCUUAGUUGGCAAACUGCCCUCGAAAUAAAGAUCUUCAAGCGCAGGCUUGAAGUCAAUGUUCCUUCCCUCGAGAAUCCUAGUAGCGUCAAUGUAGAGGCGAAGUCGCCAACCAUGUCAUGCUCCAAGAACUCACAUUGACGCAAAUGAUCCAAAUCCAUCAUUCUCGGUUCUAACCUUGGUUCCUUCAGCGGUACUCCACAAGCUACCAGAAUUGGCGUCACAACGCCACCUACGCAUAGUGCUCCUCUCACCUUCUUCUUGCCGUUUGUCAACGUCCACAUCCUGUAUCCACACAAGUGGAUCAACAUAAGCAUUACUAGUGACGCGUCAUUGAGAUCGCCUCUCAGGACCUUCUUUCCCUUUGUACGGCGGAGAAUGCUUGUAAGUGCGGAAUCUAUCAUCUCCAUGUCUAUGUUAGACACAGUGCCUGUAGACUCCCUGGAGUAAAGAACAUUGGCAAACGAGCGCUGAAAGUAGCGAAUCACAGGAAUUCAGAUUUGGUUGGUCUUGGACCGCACAGAGUUUAGCGGUACAUUGUUGCCAAUAGUAGCCCACAAAUCCUUAAGCUCUUCCCUGUCAAACUUAGGCUUGGUUCCCUUUCCACUAGGGAAGCCAAACAGUUCUUCCAACUUCUUGAUCAACAACUGAUAGCGAUGCUCAUCCAUUGGUAUCCAGCUCAAAUUCUGUGAGACCCUGAUACAUCUCCACUUGCAUUGUGGAGAGAAACUCGAUCGUUUCCUCCUUGUAGGCAGCGUAUGGGUAAGACAUGAGUGUCUCCAGAUGACACUUCUCAAACAGAUGCUGCACGUCCUCCAGUAGCCCAGCGGGGCUAAAGUCUCGUAGCAAGGAUACCUCGUUCCCCAUAAAUCGUUCAGCUCAAAGAGUCGUAUAUUCUCUUCGAAUGGAACCUCAUCGGGUUUGUUCAACAGCUUUGUCUCCUUGCGCUAUGACUCUGGCUCAUACUCAGUCUUGAUGUCCUCAUCAAUCAACUCAUACCUACUCGACUUCGCUCUCUUUCCUCUAGCGAUUUCAGCUCUUCUCUGACUACGUCGAGCUGCUGAGCGUUCUAUUUCUUCACGGAAGCUCUUGUAAGCAUGUUCUUCUCUCUCUGGUCUAGUGGACCAAGAUUCAGCUUCAUCCACAAUAUACUCUUGAUCCAUAGAAGACUCACUACUGUAGUUACGCAUGUUGAUUUCCUGUAAACAGAUGGAACUCAAAGAGAAACGUUAAUACGUUAGCUCCAACGAAACCAAAAACACUAAAGCACACAGUCGAGUGAGUAAGUCGAGUAAUAACCGGUCGAGAGAUUUUGUUGGUUUUGGAAAUCGAAUUCGUCUUGCUUAUUUGUGAACCGAUCGAGUGUAUGGUUGAGUAAUAACCGGCGUCGUUGAUUUAAAGAAGACUUGGUCAGCGAUCGAGUGAGCUUGAAAACCGAUGAUGGCGAAGAGAACCUCACUGUGGUCGAGUGAACUCCAGGAUUGGUGAGAAGAAGACUUCGCCUGGUAAGGAGGCCGAGUAGCUUCUUUCUCCUUUUCUCUUGUGAAGCGAUCGAGUAUAUACUCCUCUUCUUCUCCGUGGUUGAAUUUGGGGAACCGGUCGAGUGAUUGAAACAAAACGAUUGAAGAUGAUGAAGCGAUGAGAGUGAGGUCGAGUGAUGAGGAGGUUGUUGUUGAGCGACAAAGUAAGAGGGUUGGAUCGAGUGGUGUACUUCGCGAUCGAGUGGAUUGAGAGCAGCUUCGUUCUCGUUUCUCCGUUGAGUAUGUCGAGUGAUAAGGCGAUGGAGAGAUGGCGUGGUUUGGUCAAGGGUCGGUGAGGAAGAUGGUGAUCAGAGAUCGAGUGAAGUUGUUGAAGUUGGAGAGUGAUGAAUUCAGAGCAAAAGAGAAGACGGUGUUUUUUUCGAUGAGAGAUGGCACCAGCUUGGUCGAGUGGAUUGGUGCGGUCGAGUGGUGGUAGUGAUGGUGUUGUUUUGUGGCUGUCGAAUGAAUGGGGUCGGUGAAGCUGGUCGUGGUCGAGUGAAGAACUUGGUGAACUUGAGAGUGAGUGACGAUGAGAGAUGAGAGAGGUGCGGUCGAGUCUAGGUUGCGGAAAAACUGAGGUAGAAAUGCUUGUUGAGGUCGAGUGAAGAGUGAAGGUAAGGGCGAUUUGAAGAGAUGGAGGUCGAGUGAUGAUAAGGGUAAGGGUAAGGUAUGGUUGGUUGAGAAGAGAUGAGGGAGAUCUCUUGUCUGUUGGUUAGGAGCGUGGGAGACAUAGGGUGCAGUGGUGGGUCUCACGGUUGUCUCUUUGUUCUUAAUCAUUGCUCUGUCUUCACUAGGAAAACCUGAGGAAAUCCGGCAAUCCACUGUAAACUUGAUAAACUCCCUGUAAUACUCUGUAGCUUCUGUUGGUCGAGUAUAAUAAUGAUUUAAAAAUUUUUGGGUUUUAAACAUCACACAUACUCGACUGAUGUACUCGAAUGCAAGGUCUCCACGUGCAACAAAAAGUUUUCAAAAUUUUGCACUCCACUGGGCUAUACACUCGAUCUUCAGGCCUUUUGUAGAGUAAGAGUUUUGAAUUUUUACUCUAUCUCCACGUUGUUCCUUUGUUACUGAGAACCACAAACACAACUAAAACAAAUCAAAAAUAACAAGAAAAUAAAAAUUUAUUUACAGAGAUAGUCAUGGGACUUCCUCCCAAGUGAGCUUGUUUAAAGUCUCUCGCUUGAUUAAGAAGAAAAUGGGUAAUACAGAGGGUCUGCAUUGUCCUCUCUGAUAUCAUCAUCAUAUUCAACGUCCUCUCUGGAGAGGUGUGCAGCAGAAUACUCAAUUCCCCUUUCUUCAAAGUAGGCUUCUUUCUCUCGUGGAGGGUAAUCUAUCUCUUCGGACCAUCUUGAAGUGAACUUUUUUCUUGGGAUAAUGUCAAUCCCGCCUUUAGGCUGAGCUUCCUUUUGCAUCUGAUUCAGCUUACUCUUAAGUUCCUCAACAAUGUGGGCUAGCUCCUCUAUAGUUUUUUCUUGUUUAUCAGACCUCUUUUUAAGUUCUUUUACGCUCUUAGUCUCAGAUCCUUCUCCUGGGAUCACUCUAUCGUCUUCAGAGGUUUUUCCAUCUUCUGUUGACCUUUGUGGAGUUUUGUUGAUGUCAAACUGAAGCUUGAUGUGAUUUCCAAGGUUGAGAUUUAUUUUCACUUCCCUGACAUCUAUCACUGCUCCCACUGAGGCUAAGAAAGGUCUUUCCAAGAUUAGAUGAUCCUUAUGUUCUUCUUUCAAUCUAGCACAACGAAGUUUGUAGGCACUUCCACUCCAUUAAUUAUGACGGGUAAAUCUUUUAGCAUGCCAAAGGGUUUUCUUGAAGACCUAUCCGGAAGGCGGAAAGUCAGGUCACAAGGCAUGUACUGAAUGAAUUCCAACCUCCUUGCCACAGAGAGUGGCAUUAAACUGACAGAGGCUCCGAGAUCGCACAGGCAAUUGCUGAAAGCUAAUUCCCCAAUGGAACAUGGUAGAGUACAAGAUCCAGGAUCUUCUAAUUUUUCUUGAACAAUCCUCUUAUCAGCAGCUCGAGAUGGAUUAGCAUCACAUUCAUCAUCUGAAUCGUGAUACAUCUUGAUCCUUUCCAGUAUCAGAUUUCUCACAUCUUUGUGAGGAUCAUGAAUCACGUUGAGAACUUCCAUAAGCGGCAUCACUACUUCAAUCUCGUUAAGCUGUUUCUCUGCAACAGAUUUGUAUCUCUCCAUCCAGGCUUUCCUGAAUUUCCAUGGUAAAGCACGUGAGGGUAAUGGAGUAGGUUUGAAUCGUUUUGCCAUUCUCUCAAUUAUGGCUACUUUCUCUUCCGAGGUGGAUUGAAUGAGAUGGUGAGAACCAGCAGAGUGGUUGAAUUCAACAACAGAGACCUUAACCUGAGUAGAAGCCUCUCCUUCUUGAACAUCAUUGUCCCAGUGAUUAAGUUAGGAACAUGUCUAGUUGGCAGCUCUCGAUCAUGGCAGAUAGUGAUCGCGUUAACAGUUGCAUACUCCUUUUGAUUCUGUAUGGGCUUCCCUGGAAGUCCUGUAACUUUGGGCGCAGAGGUAGAUGCUGAUUGGCCUUCCAAAUAUCUGACUUUGGUAUUCAAUGCCUCCACUUUGGCAUUCAGGUCAUUGUACCUGCAGUCCAUUGAGCUAGAUGCUUGUUCUUGUAGCAGCUGUUGUGCCAUUUGUUUCAUGUUAGCGUCAGGAGCGGGAGGACCUUGGUGUUGUUGAGGUGCAAACCUAGGUGGUGGUUGCUGCUGGUAGUUCCCUGAAAUUGCUGCUUGGAAACAAAAUCUUGCUUGUAGGGAACAAAAGGUUUGUUAUGACCUUGUUGUCGUUGUGGAGGAUACACUUGAUCCUGAGGAUUAGCAAUGUUGGUGCUGCGAUAAGAGAGGUUGGGGUUGUUAGUCUUGAAGUUGUUGUAUCCUUUGUAGCCACUUUGAUUAUUGAUGUAGCUAACUUCUUCUAACUGAUUCCCCUCCCCAUCUUGGACCUGAUACUGCUCGUCAUCAACAAGGAAGUGCACAUGCUUCUGCUGGCUAAGAAGAAUCUUGUCCUGCUUGUCAUUCAACGCUUUGAUCUCCUUCCUAUGUUUGUCAUCCGAGUCAGUUGUGCCUCUGAUGGUCCUCUCGCAGUCCUUGUUGUAAUUAUCAUUUGAUUGAGCUAGGUUCUCAAUCAAUUCCCAUCCUUCUUCAACAUCUUUGUUCUGGAAAUUUUCAUUGCUGGCGGUAUCCAGAAGCAUUCUGAUGCGUGGUAAAACUCCUCUGUAUAGAGUGCUGAGUAGAGAGGCUUUCUUGAAGCCAUGAUGAGGGCAUUGGUUGGUGUAACCCUUGAAACGCUCCCAUGCUUCACAGAAGCUUUCACCAGUCUUCUGUGAAAAACUAGAAAU
This 5730-nucleotide small RNA is filed under the name Arabidopsis thaliana (thale cress). Its description in RNAcentral is "ATSL157750". The stretch from base 5639 to 5730 matches the Rfam family "Plant small nucleolar RNA R71", at positions 1 to 92 of the family's 107-position model. Lineage: Eukaryota; Viridiplantae; Streptophyta; Magnoliopsida; Brassicales; Brassicaceae. The record is from RNAcentral.